UGGGGAAUAUUGGACAACGGGCGCAAGCCUGAUCCAGCCAUGCCGCGUGAGUGAUGAAGGCCCUAGGGUUGUAAAGCUCUUUCGCCAGGGACGAUAAUGACGGUACCUGGAUAAGAAGCCCCGGCUAACUUCGUGCCAGCAGCCGCGGUAAUACGAAGGGGGCUAGCGUUGUUCGGAAUCACUGGGCGUAAAGCGCACGUAGGCGGAUCUUUAAGUCAGGGGUGAAAUCCCGAGGCUCAACCUCGGAACUGCCUUUGAUACUGGAGGUCUCGAGUCCGGGAGAGGUGAGUGGAACUGCGAGUGUAGAGGUGAAAUUCGUAGAUAUUCGCAAGAACACCAGUGGCGAAGGCGGCUCACUGGCCCGGUACUGACGCUGAGGUGCGAAAAGCGUGGGGAGCAAAACAGGAUUAGAUACCCUGGUAGUCCACGCCGUAAAACUAUGGAUGCUAGCCGUUGGGCAGCUUGCUGUUCAGUGGCGCAGCUAACGCUUUAAGCAUCCCGCCUGGGGAGUACGGUCGCAAGAUUAAAAACUCAAAUGAAUUGACGGGGUC
This 551-nucleotide ribosomal RNA is filed under the name uncultured bacterium. RNAcentral describes it as "partial 16S ribosomal RNA". It matches the Rfam family "Bacterial small subunit ribosomal RNA", at positions 355 to 920 of the family's 1533-position model. The record is from RNAcentral.